CGGACGGGUGAGUAAUGCUUGGGAAUCUGGCUUAUGGAGGGGGAUAACGACGGGAAACUGUCGCUAAUACCGCGUAGAGUCGAGAGACGAAAGUGUGGGACCGCAAGGCCACAUGCCAUGAGAUGAGCCCAAGUGGGAUUAGGUAGUUGGUGGGGUAAAGGCCUACCAAGCCGACGAUCUCUAGCUGGUCUGAGAGGAUGACCAGCCACACCGGGACUGAGACACGGCCCGG
Molecule: ribosomal RNA, 232 nt
Filed under: uncultured bacterium
Lineage: Bacteria
Description: partial 16S ribosomal RNA
Rfam family: Bacterial small subunit ribosomal RNA
Source: RNAcentral